RNAcentral lists this ribosomal RNA (397 nucleotides) under uncultured bacterium. RNAcentral describes it as "bacterial SSU rRNA". It matches the Rfam family "Bacterial small subunit ribosomal RNA", at positions 355 to 766 of the family's 1533-position model. The record is from RNAcentral.
UGGGGAAUAUUGGGCAAUGGGCGGAAGCCUGACCCAGCGACGCCGCGUGGGGGAAGAAGUCUUUCGGGAUGUAAACCCUUGUUGUACGGGACGAAGGAAGUGACGGUACCGUACGAGGAAGCCCCGGCAAACUACGUGCCAGCAGCCGCGGUAAUACCUAGGGGGCGAGCGUUGUCCGGAAUCACUGGGCGUAAAGCGCACGUAGGCGGGCUGUCAAGUCGGCCGUGAAAGGCAUGGGCUCAACCUGUGCAUGUCGGUCGAUACUGGCGGUCUGGAGUAUGGGAGAGGGAACUGGAAUUCCCGGUGUGGCGGGGAAAUGCGUAGAUAUCGGGAGGAACACCAGUGGCGAAGGCGGGUUCCUGGCCCAUGACUGACGCUGAGGUGCGAAAGCCGGGGG